CAGUCGCCGCGUAAUACGUAGGUGGCAAGCGUUGUCCGGAAUUAUUGGGCGUAAAGGGCUCGCAGGCGGUUUCUUAAGUCUGAUGUGAAAGCCCCCAGCUCAACCGGGGAGGGUCAUUGGAAACUGAGAAACUUGAGUGCAGAAGAGGAGAGUGGAAUUCCACGUGUAGCGGUGAAAUGCGUAGAGAUGUGGAGGAACACCAGUGGCGAAGGCGACUCUCUGGUCUGUAACUGACGCUGAGGAGCAAAAGCGUGGGGAGCGAACAGGAUUAGAUACCCCAGUAGUCCCUGUCUCUUAUACA
Molecule: ribosomal RNA, 301 nt
Filed under: uncultured bacterium
Lineage: Bacteria
Description: partial 16S ribosomal RNA
Rfam family: Bacterial small subunit ribosomal RNA
Source: RNAcentral